This 616-nucleotide ribosomal RNA is filed under the name Morganella morganii. RNAcentral describes it as "bacterial SSU rRNA". It matches the Rfam family "Bacterial small subunit ribosomal RNA", at positions 835 to 1450 of the family's 1533-position model. The record is from RNAcentral. Lineage: Bacteria; Pseudomonadati; Pseudomonadota; Gammaproteobacteria; Enterobacterales; Morganellaceae.
AGGCGUGGCUUCCGGAGCUAACGCGUUAAGUCGNCCGCNUGGGGAGUACGGCCGCAAGGUUAAAACUCAAAUGAAUUGACGGGGGCCCGCACAAGCGGUGGAGCAUGUGGUUUAAUUCGAUGCAACGCGAAGAACNUUACCUACUCUUGACAUCCAGAGAACUUNNCAGAGAUGNNUUGGUGCCUUCGGGAACUNUGAGACAGGUGCUGCAUGGCUGUCGUCAGCUCGUGUUGUGAAAUGUUGGGUUAAGUCCCGCAACGAGCGCAACCCUUAUCCUUUGUUGCCAGCGCGUGAUGGCGGGAACUCAAAGGAGACUGCCGGUGAUAAACCGGAGGAAGGUGGGGAUGACGUCAAGUCAUCAUGGCCCUUACGAGUAGGGCUACACACGUGCUACAAUGGCGUAUACAAAGGGAAGCGACCCCGCGAGGGCAAGCGGAACUCAUAAAGUACGUCGUAGUCCGGAUUGGAGUCUGCAACUCGACUCCAUGAAGUCGGAAUCGCUAGUAAUCGUAGAUCAGAAUGCUACGGUGAAUACGUUCCCGGGCCUUGUACACACCGCCNNUCACACCAUGGGAGUGGGUUGCAAAAGAAGUAGGUAGCUUAACCUCCGGGAGGG